GAUGAACGCUGGCGGCGUGCCUAAUACAUGCAAGUCGAGCGAACAGACGAGGAGCUUGCUCCUCUGACGUUAGCGGCGGACGGGUGAGUAACACGUGGAUAACCUACCUAUAAGACUGGGAUAAAUUCGGGAAACCGGAGCUAAUACCGGAUAAUAUAUUGAACCGCAUGGUUCAAUAGUGAAAGACGGUUUUGCUGUCACUUAUAGAUGGAUCCGCGCCGCAUUAGCUAGUUGGUAAGGUAACGGCUUACCAAGGCAACGAUGCGUAGCCGACCUGAGAGGGUGAUCGGCCACACUGGAACUGAGACACGGUCCAGACUCCUACGGGAGGCAGCAGUAGGGAAUCUUCCGCAAUGGGCGAAAGCCUGACGGAGCAACGCCGCGUGAGUGAUGAAGGUCUUCGGAUCGUAAAACUCUGUUAUUAGGGAAGAACAAAUGUAUAAGUAACUAUGCACGUCUUGACGGUACCUAAUCAGAAAGCCACGGCUAACUACGUG
RNAcentral lists this ribosomal RNA (497 nucleotides) under uncultured bacterium. RNAcentral's name for it is "partial 16S ribosomal RNA". It matches the Rfam family "Bacterial small subunit ribosomal RNA", at positions 28 to 507 of the family's 1533-position model. The record is from RNAcentral.